GCCGAACCGUGCAAACGUUGUUCGGAAUCACUGGGCUUAAAGGGCGCGUAGGCGGGUUCGUAAGUCUGUGGUGAAAGCCCCCAGCUUAACUGGGGAAGUGCCAUGGAUACUGCGAGUCUUGAGGAGGGUAGGGGCAUCUGGAACACUGGGUGGAGCGGUGAAAUGCGUUGAUAUCCAGUGGAACUCCGGUGGCGAAGGCGAGGUGCUGGACCCUUUCUGACGCUGAUGCGCGAAAGCCAGGGGAGCAAACAGG
Molecule: ribosomal RNA, 253 nt
Filed under: uncultured bacterium
Lineage: Bacteria
Description: partial 16S ribosomal RNA
Rfam family: Bacterial small subunit ribosomal RNA
Source: RNAcentral